UGUGGUCUCAUUUUCUUUCAAUCAUAUCCCCUUUUUGCACCGUUUGUUCAUCUUCAAGGUAUGGAACUCUUUGGGCCUUGAUCUCACUUUGGCAAUCAAGUUCAAUAGGUAGGGUUUUCUACCAUUUUCUACCGAUUCGUCUUCGCUCAUCUUCGUCUAGAGGGUUCGUAGUUCGUUUCCCCUUCUUCCGCGGCUUCCUCUAUUCGCCCACUCGAUUUUCACCAGAUUCAUGGUUUCUCACCAAUCUGCCAUGACCUGGGGUCAUCAGAGCCUAGGUUAGGCGCGUUCGUUUGAGCUAAGUGUUUUUCUUAACUUUUCUCUUGUAAAUUUGACUUUCAGAAUUUUGUUGCAUUGAGCUAAGUUUGUAUUCAUGGAGCUAAUUCGAUCUUUGUUCUUCUCCCUUUUUAA
Long non-coding RNA from Vigna angularis (adzuki bean), 408 nucleotides. RefSeq lists it as uncharacterized. Lineage: Eukaryota; Viridiplantae; Streptophyta; Magnoliopsida; Fabales; Fabaceae. The record is from RefSeq and is a predicted model, not a curated record. The transcript has 3 exons.